AAACCAGCCAAUAACUCGGCUUACCUGAGUGUUUUUCUGCAGAAAUUUAGAGAAAGCUGGUGAUAGUAAAGCCAUGUUACAAGCCUUAAGGACACUGCAGUCCUUAGGAUCCCUGAAAAUGGCUGCAACA
This is a small nucleolar RNA of Choloepus didactylus (southern two-toed sloth), 130 nucleotides long. RefSeq annotates it as small nucleolar RNA SNORA33. NCBI's taxonomy places the organism in Eukaryota, Metazoa, Chordata, Mammalia, Pilosa, Megalonychidae. The transcript has a single exon. The record is from RefSeq and is a predicted model, not a curated record.